This 914-nucleotide ribosomal RNA is filed under the name uncultured bacterium. Its description in RNAcentral is "bacterial SSU rRNA". It matches the Rfam family "Bacterial small subunit ribosomal RNA", at positions 91 to 992 of the family's 1533-position model. The record is from RNAcentral.
GAGAGUGGCGAACGGGUGAGUAACACGUAGGUGAUCUACCCUUGGGUGGGGAAUAGCCCAUGGAAACAUGGGGUAAUACCGCAUGAGGUCUUUCUGCGUAAAGCGGAUGGAUAAAAGGAGCAAUUGUUCCGCCUGGGGAUGAGCCUGCGGUCCAUUAGCUAGUUGGUGUGGUAAGAGCGCACCAAGGCGACGAUGGAUAGCCGGCCUGAGAGGGUGCACGGUCACACUGGGACUGGGACACGGCCCAGACUCCUACGGGAGGCAGCAGCUAAGAAUCUUCCGCAAUGGGGGAAACCCUGACGGAGCGACGCCGCGUGGGCGAAGAAGGCCGGAAGGUUGUAAAGCCCUUUUCUUGACGAAGAAUAAGGCAAGGAGUGGAACGCCUUGCUGAUGACGUUAGUCGAGGAAGAAGCCCCGGCCAAUUACGUGCCAGCAGCCGCGGUAACACGUAUGGGGCAAGCGUUGUUCGGAAUUACUGGGCGUAAAGGGUGCGUAGGCGGUUCAGCAAGCUUGGUGUUAAAUCCCCCGGCCUAACCGGGGAGCAGCGCUGGGAACUGCUGGGCUGGAGUUCAGGAGGGGAAGCUGGAAUUCCUGGUGUAGGGGUGAAAUCUGUAGAGAUCAGGAAGAACACCGAUGGCGAAGGCAAGCUUCUGGCCAUGGACUGACGCUGAGGCACGAAAGCGUGGGGAGCGAACAGGAUUAGAUACCCUGGUAGUCCACGCCGUAAACGAUGUGCACUAGGUGUUGGGGCGAUGAAAGCCUCGGUGCCGUAGCGAACGUGUUAAGUGCACCGCCUGGGGAGUAUGCUCGCAAGGGUGAAACUCAAAGGAAUUGACGGGGGCCCGCACAAGCGGUGGAGCAUGUGGUUUAAUUCGAUGAUACGCGAGGAACCUUACCAGGGCUUGACAUGUGCA